RNAcentral lists this long non-coding RNA (868 nucleotides) under Ananas comosus (pineapple). RNAcentral's name for it is "long non-coding RNA (ACOM_LNC031643)". Lineage: Eukaryota; Viridiplantae; Streptophyta; Magnoliopsida; Poales; Bromeliaceae. The record is from RNAcentral.
UACAUAUAUAUACAUAUACAUAUAUAUACAUAUACAUAUAUAUACAUAUACAUAUACAUAUAUAUAUAUAUAUAUAUACAUAUACAUAUACAUACAUAUACAUAUACAUAUACAUAUAUAGGCCGGGGCUACUAUACUCUUAUAAGUAUAGACCCCCUUAUACUCAUAAAUUUUUAACCGUUGAUUGAUGGGAUGUGGUUAGGAUGAUGGUGGUCCCCACUUAGAAUGAUAGUGGUCCCCUAGAGUUGAGUGGGUAGUUGGUUAAAUAGUAUGAUCUAACGGAUGAAAAUGAUUAAUGGAAUAAAUUUAAGGGUCGAAAACUUAUGAGUAUAAAGGAGCCAAUACUCAUAAAAGUAUAGUAGCUGAACUCUAUAUAUAUAUAUAUAUAAUAUUUAUAAAUAUAAUGUAUUUUAAUUAUAUAUAGGCUUUAAUUUAAUUUCGGCCACUAUUGUUGGCCCAUAAAAUAAACCCAACAAGUACAAACGUACAAUUGAGCCCAACUCUAAAUUUACAUAACACUUUCACUGUUGCACAUAACCCUAAAACAUGAUAACAUUCAAAUUUUCAAAUUCCUACUUUUUUUCCUCUCUCUCUCUCUCUCUUUCUCUCUCUUUCUUAGACCCUCAUCGAGUCAGGAAGUCACCCUAGCUCACAUUUUUUAUAAUUAUUUUGUAUUUUGAAUUAUUGGACAUGUUGCAUCAAAUUGUAGAUAAUGUUCUAUAAAAAUUAAACUAUUGAUUAUAUAAUGUCGAGAAUUUCAAUCGGCUCGUUUAGAGCUCGAGCUCAGCUCGACUCGAAAUUAGGCUCGCUCGAGCUCGGCUCGAAUUAAUUUCAAGCUGAGCUUGAGCCUAGAUUUAGGCUCGAANUA